This 253-nucleotide ribosomal RNA is filed under the name uncultured bacterium. RNAcentral describes it as "partial 16S ribosomal RNA". It matches the Rfam family "Bacterial small subunit ribosomal RNA", at positions 524 to 776 of the family's 1533-position model. The record is from RNAcentral.
UACGAAGGGGGCUAGCGUUGCUCGGAAUUACUGGGCGUAAAGGGCGCGUAGGCGGACAGUUAAGUCAGAGGUGAAAGCCCAGGGCUCAACCCUGGAAUUGCCUUUGAUACUGAAGAUCUUGAGUUCGGGAGAGGUGAGUGGAACUGCGAGUGUAGAGGUGAAAUUCGUAGAUAUUCGCAAGAACACCAGUGGCGAAGGCGGCUCACUGGCCCGAUACUGACGCUGAGGCACGAAAGCGUGGGGAGCAAACAGG